CAGUAGCCGCGGGAAUACGUAGGCCCCGAGCGUUGUCCGGGUUUAUUGGGCGUAAAGCGAGCGCAGGCGGUUAGAUAAGUCUGAAGUUAAAGGCUGUGGCUUAACCAUAGUACGCUUUGGAAACUGUUUGACUUGAGUGCAGAAGGGGAGAGUGGAAUUCCAUGUGUAGCGGAGAAAUGCGUAGAUAUAUGGAGGAACACCGGUGGCGAAAGCGGCUCUCUGGUCUGUCACUGACGCUGAGGCUCGAAAGCGUGGGUAGCGAACAGGAUUAGAUACCCCCGUAGUCCCUGUCUCUUAUACA
This 301-nucleotide ribosomal RNA is filed under the name uncultured bacterium. RNAcentral's name for it is "partial 16S ribosomal RNA". It matches the Rfam family "Bacterial small subunit ribosomal RNA", at positions 509 to 808 of the family's 1533-position model. The record is from RNAcentral.